AGAGAGUAGGCCCGCAGCCGUCCGCCAUUGUCCUGUCCCCGCACCCCUCUGGACCAAGCUUGGCUACUCCCGGUCUAUCCCCGCCACAGAGGCGCGCCUACCAGAUGCCAGCCCAUGAGAGGCCCCAGGAGUGCAAAGGUGAACAAAACGGGGUAGACAAGCUAGAAGACCCCAGGCCUGGGCCUGCAAGCUGAGGGGCACAGCCAUGGUCAAAAAUACCUGGAGUGGGCUGUGGAGGCCAGAGCGGUGUUUGAAAUGUCAGACCUCUCUGUCUUGAGGCCCUGGCUACACUGUGCUAGGCUGGACCUGUCUUCAGGAUCACCUGGGUCACCAGUGUCCUCCAAGCCAGCCCAGAACUGGCACCUGGGAGCCAGGAGAACACGGUAGGAAGAGACCAUGGAUGCACAGCGAGCCCUGAGUGAGAAGUUAACUUGGCUUCACCGGCCUGCUUCUGUGGUCCCAGGCUUUCUCUUGGAAGCCAAAAAUACCCCCAAAUCAUGGUUUGCUUUUUAAGUUUUUCUCUAACAGCAUUUACAUAAAUUCCCAAUGGAAAUUUCCCCCUUUGAAGGUUGAGGGGUAUUUCUCUUUCAGUGUUUCCAAAAGUCCUGUUAAAUGAAGUCAGGGGAUUUACAAGCAGAAGUGACCGCCCCCCACCCCCAGGACACGGUUGGGUUUGUCAGCCUUCCUCUCCUCCCAGCUGGGCAGGGUACUGGGUGGCAUUAAAGAAAGACCUCAGCGGGCAGUGACAGGGCCCUGAUGGAUGGGGCCAUGGCCUUCCAGCCGUAGUCCUGGACUGGAGCGGACAGCAUGCUGUUCUGGAGUCAGCAGCCUCUAGGUCCUCAUGCCUGGUCACUUAGCAACAAGAUUCAAGCUCUAUCUUCAGAGUUCACCACUUCCUCCUUUCCUUCCUCAGAAAUUUGGGUCCAAAUAGCAUGGAAUGUUUUAACCUUUAAAGGUUAACUUCUGAAACAGCCUGCUCCAAGUAAGAAUUAGCCUUUUGUGAGUGAUCAGGCUCCAAACCCAAGGUGAUUAUUGUCUUUUUAAAAAAUGCACCCCUUUGACCGCAAAGACAAGAGAUACUCAGCAUUGUAAAAGAACACACAACUAGGCAUUUAGAUUUUUUGGUAAGGUCAGUAUCAUACAUCGUAUGUACAAAAUUGACAUAAGAAGGAGAAAGUAGCUUUUCAAAACUCCUAACACACUCAGGAUAACUCUUAAAUCAAUAACGUUUUGCAAAAUUGUAUUUUAUCCGGGAGGGUUCAAUUUCAAUGAACUGUUUUAAUUUAUGACUUUUGAAGUAUUAUAUGUAUGGCAAUUAACCAAUUUGUUGAUUUAGUUGAAUAAUUUGUCUUUGAGCCAUUUAAAAAAAAAAAAAAAUUCCCUACUUUAGCUAUAUUUCUCGAAUAGGCCACCCGGCUUUAACAACCUGCAACAGGAAGAUCUUUCAAAAUUGCAAGCAGUGUAUUUAAAGACUGAAGACAGAAUGUGCCUGUAAUGCUCCCCCUACUCCAAACUGUGUCUGGAAGGUGGGGGUGGGGGGAGGUGAGACCUAAUGGUGGAAGGAACUCAAACCAGCCCCUUUGCUCAUCGAGUAAGUAAUUAGGGUACCCCCUCCCAGGGUAGAUAGAAUGGCAGAAUGAUUUUAAACAUUUCACAUUGUCUGGAAUUUUGCACACAGUUACCAUUCACUUUCGUUAUUAUUAAAAUUAAAAUAUCCAUUUGC
Molecule: long non-coding RNA, 1723 nt
Organism: Sus scrofa (pig)
Lineage: Eukaryota; Metazoa; Chordata; Mammalia; Artiodactyla; Suidae
Source: RefSeq, a predicted model, not a curated record